GAUGAACGCUGGCGGCGUGCCUAAUACAUGCGAGUCGAACGGAAAGGCCCGGCUCUUGUGGGGCGCACGAGAGGCGAACGGGGGAGUAACACGCGAGUAACACGUACCUGAAUGAGGGAUAAAUCUAGGAAACAGGGGCUAAAAUAGGAGAGGAGAUUCUGAUGCGCGGUGGGGGUUGGAGAGAGACGGCGGUUGGGGAUCGACUAGCAGCUUAUCCGCUUGUUGGUGUGGUAGUGGCUUACCAGGGCUUUGACGGGUAGCCGGCCUGAGAGGGUGACCGGCCACAUUGGGACUGAGAUACGGCCCAGACUCCUACGGGACGCAGCAGUGGGGAGUAUUGCACAAUGGGCGGAAGCCUGAUGCAGCAACCCCGCGUGCGGGAUAACGGCCUUCGGGUUGUAAACCGCUUUCUCCUGUGACGAAGCGUGAGUGACGGUAAUGGGUAAAGAAGCACCGGCUAACUACGUG
Molecule: ribosomal RNA, 468 nt
Filed under: uncultured bacterium
Lineage: Bacteria
Description: partial 16S ribosomal RNA
Rfam family: Bacterial small subunit ribosomal RNA
Source: RNAcentral